Molecule: long non-coding RNA, 1505 nt
Filed under: Sorghum bicolor (sorghum)
Lineage: Eukaryota; Viridiplantae; Streptophyta; Magnoliopsida; Poales; Poaceae
Description: long non-coding RNA (SBIC_LNC014686)
Source: RNAcentral
AGGGUUUUGGUCACCUUCGCGAUCAUCGUGAUAAACUUCUUCAGUGGGACCGCAGAUUAGGUUCAUCAUUUCCUCUUCAUGUUCUCUCGGAUCGGCCAUUUCUACAGAAAUAUGUGACACAUCACUACUAGCACUACUGUGUAUACUUGACAAGGAAACAAUAUAUAAAACUAGGGUUUAGGGUUUAGGGCUUAGGGCUUAGAACAUCACUAAAUACAUCACAGAACACUAUAGAACAUCACUAAAUACAUCAAAUAUAUUACGUGAAAAAAACUAAAUACACCAUAGAACAUCACUAAUUACAUUAAAGAACAUUGUAUAUAUAAUACGUGAAAAUAAAUAAGAAAUUGGUACUAUAAUAUACAUGAAAAUAAAUAAAUAUAUAUGAAUUUGAGCAGAGGCAAUAUUCUACAUUCAUAAGAAAUUGGUGACACAUGACUACUAGCACUACUGUGUAUACCUGACAAGGAAACAAUAUAUAAAACUAGGGUUUACAACUUAGGAUUUUCUGCAACAGUUUACGGCUAAGGGUUUGGGGUUUACGGCUUAGGUUUCAAGGUUUAGGGUUUAUGGCUUAGGGUUUACAUCAUUUGGUGACAAAAGUGGCAUGAUCUGAACCGGUCACAAAUAAGUUUAGGGUUUAGUGUAUAUCAUUUGCUAAUAAUUAAAUAUAUCAUAAUUAUACCACUAAUUUAUACCACUAAUUGUAUCACUAAUUAUAGCACUAAUUGUACCACUAAUAGAUCCAUCUCGACAUACCUGUAGUUUGAAGGCGGUGAGAUGGCGGAGAGAAGGCGGUCGGUGCGGAGACUUGACGGGGACUUCGGUGACGACGACAGAGAGACUUCGAUCUGGAAGAAGGAAGAAAGAGGAAACAAAUAUUAUAUCACAUUUACAUAUGUAUGUGUGUGUGAGAGAGAGAUAGACGGCAGAGAGACAUCGAUCCGAUGUGUGUGCGCGCGCGCGCAUGCGCGCAUCGGCCCUGGAUGAUCAAGUGUGUGUACAUGUGUGUGUGUAUGUGUGUGUGUUCCGCGGCGGUGCUCCACGAUGGCGACGACAACAGCGCUGCAAAGGUUACAACGGCGAGUACUAGGGUUCUUUCUGUGUCUUAUUUUUGGGUGAGGAACUAAACAGGGCCUAAUAUACAUACAUUAUGAAUUUUUUCUUUCUCUGUUUUUUCAUAUGUUUUUUCAUUUUUUUUCUUUCUCCAGGGCCUUGUUUAGUUACCAAAAAAUUUUGCAAAAUAUUCCAGAUUCUCCGUCACAUCGAAUCUUUAGACGCAUGCAUGAAGUAUUAAAUAUAGACGAAAAUAAAAACUAAUUACAUAGUUUGGUCGGAAUUGACGACACGAAUCUUUUGAGCCUAGUUAGUCCAUGAUUAGACAAUAUUUGUCAAAUACCAACGAAAAUGCUACAGUGUCGAUUUUUCAAAAAAAUUUGGAACAAAACAAGGCCGGUGGCCGCCGGCAACGGGGCCGGCCGCGCCACCACGCGCCGUUUGCAGGC